RNAcentral lists this ribosomal RNA (229 nucleotides) under uncultured bacterium. Its description in RNAcentral is "partial 16S ribosomal RNA". It matches the Rfam family "Bacterial small subunit ribosomal RNA", at positions 568 to 796 of the family's 1533-position model. The record is from RNAcentral.
UGCGUAGGCGGGCUAAUAAGUCAGUGGCGAAAUCUUCCGGCUCAACCGGGAACCUGCCAUUGAUACUGUUAGUCUUGAGUUCGGUUGAGGUAGGCGGAAUGUGUAAUGUAGCGGUGAAAUGCUUAGAUAUUACACAGAACACCAAUUGCGUAGGCAGCUUACUAGACCGACACUGACGCUGAGGCACGAAAGCGUGGGGAGCGAACAGGAUUAGAUACCCUGGUAGUCC